UACGAAGGGGGCUAGCGUUGCUCGGAAUCACUGGGCGUAAAGCGCACGUAGGCGGCUUUCUAAGUCAGGGGUGAAAUCCUGGAGCUCAACUCCAGAACUGCCUUUGAUACUGGAAAGCUUGAGUUCGGGAGAGGUGAGUGAAACUGCGAGUGUAGAGGUGAAAUUCGUAGAUAUUCGCAAGAACACCAGUGGCGAAGGCGGCUCACUGGCCCGAUACUGACGCUGAGGUGCGAAAGCGUGGGGAGCAAACAGG
This 253-nucleotide ribosomal RNA is filed under the name uncultured bacterium. RNAcentral describes it as "partial 16S ribosomal RNA". It matches the Rfam family "Bacterial small subunit ribosomal RNA", at positions 524 to 776 of the family's 1533-position model. The record is from RNAcentral.